AGUGAACGCUGGCGGUAGGCCUAACACAUGCAAGUCAAACGGCAGCACAGUAAGAGCUUGCCCUUACGGGUGGCGAGUGGCGGACGGGUGAGGAAUACAUCGGAAUCUACUUUUUCGUGGGGGAUAACGUAGGGAAACUUACGCUAAUACCGCAUACGACCUACGGGUGAAAGCAGGGGAUCUUCGGACCUUGCGCGAUUGAAUGAGCCGAUGUCGGAUUAGCUAGUUGGCGGGGUAAAGGCCCACCAAGGCGACGAUCCGUAGCUGGUCUGAGAGGAUGAUCAGCCACACUGGAACUGAGACACGGUCCAGACUCCUACGGGAGGCAGCAGUGGGGAAUAUUGGACAAUGGGCGCAAGCCUGAUCCAGCCAUACCGCGUGGGUGAAGAAGGCCUUCGGGUUGUAAAGCCCUUUUGUUGGGAAAGAAAAGCAGCAGGUUAAUACCCCGCUGUUCUGACGGUACCCAAAGAAUAAGCACCGGCUAACUUCGUG
Molecule: ribosomal RNA, 492 nt
Filed under: uncultured bacterium
Lineage: Bacteria
Description: partial 16S ribosomal RNA
Rfam family: Bacterial small subunit ribosomal RNA
Source: RNAcentral